AAAAAUAAAAAAAGCAGUCGCUGAUGUUGAGCAACUGUGCAAGUUUCUCGUUUUUCUUCAUCCUAUCCUCUUUCUCUUUUUUCCUUCCUUUUCACAUUAAUUCA
RNAcentral lists this non-coding RNA (104 nucleotides) under uncultured Fragilariaceae. Lineage: Eukaryota; Bacillariophyta; Fragilariophyceae; Fragilariales; Fragilariaceae. The record is from RNAcentral.